RNAcentral lists this ribosomal RNA (492 nucleotides) under uncultured bacterium. RNAcentral's name for it is "partial 16S ribosomal RNA". It matches the Rfam family "Bacterial small subunit ribosomal RNA", at positions 29 to 507 of the family's 1533-position model. The record is from RNAcentral.
AGUGAACGCUGGCGGUAGGCCUAACACAUGCAAGUCGAACGGCAGCACAGUAAGAGCUUGCUCUUACGGGUGGCGAGUGGCGGACGGGUGAGGAAUACAUCGGAAUCUACUUUUUCGUGGGGGAUAACGUAGGGAAACUUACGCUAAUACCGCAUACGACCUACGGGUGAAAGCAGGGGAUCUUCGGACCUUGCGCGAUUGAAUGAGCCGAUGUCGGAUUAGCUAGUUGGCGGGGUAAAGGCCCACCAAGGCGACGAUCCGUAGCUGGUCUGAGAGGAUGUUCAGCCACACUGGAACUGAGACACGGUCCAGGCUCCUACGGGAGGCAGCAGUGGCGAAUAUUGGACAAUGGGCGCAAUCCUGAUCCAGCCAUACCGCGUGGGUGAAGAAGGCCUGCGGGUUGUAAAGCCCUUUUGUUGGGAAAGAAAAGCAGCAGGUUAAUACCCCGCUGUUCUGACGGUACCCAAAGAAUAAGCACCGGCUAACUUCGUG